Molecule: ribosomal RNA, 93 nt
Filed under: Enterobacter hormaechei subsp. hoffmannii
Lineage: Bacteria; Pseudomonadati; Pseudomonadota; Gammaproteobacteria; Enterobacterales; Enterobacteriaceae
Description: Enterobacter cloacae complex 'Hoffmann cluster III' partial 16S ribosomal RNA
Rfam family: Bacterial small subunit ribosomal RNA
Source: RNAcentral
CAAGCUUAAAUUGAAGAGUUUGAUCAUGGCUCAGAUUGAACGCUGGCGGCAGGCCUAACACAUGCAAGUCGAACGGUAACAGGAAGCAGCUUG